Molecule: ribosomal RNA, 524 nt
Filed under: uncultured bacterium
Lineage: Bacteria
Description: partial 16S ribosomal RNA
Rfam family: Bacterial small subunit ribosomal RNA
Source: RNAcentral
GACGAACGCUGGCGGCGUGCUUAACACAUGCAAGUCGAACGAGACGAUUGGAAGCUUGCUUUCGAAAGUCGAGUGGCAAACGGGUGAGUAACGCGUAGACAACCUGCCUUUGAGAUGGGGACAACAGUUCGAAAGGACUGCUAAUACCGAAUGUUGUAUAUUUUCCACAUGGAAGAUAUAUUAAAGAUGGCCUCUAUUUAUAAGCUAUCGCUCAAAGAUGGGUCUGCGUCUGAUUAGCUGGUUGGUGGGGUAACGGCCUACCAAGGCGACGAUCAGUAGCCGGUCUGAGAGGAUGAACGGCCACAUUGGGACUGAGACACGGCCCAGACCCCUACGGGAGGCAGCAGUGGGGAAUCUUCCACAAUGGACGAAAGUCUGAUGGAGCAACGCCGCGUGAGUGAAGAAGGGUUUCGGCUCGUAAAGCUCUGUUGUCGGGGACGAAUAUGCAGUAUUUGAAUAAAGUACUGUAAUGACGGUACCUGACGAGGAAGCCACGGCUAACUACGUGCCAGCCGCCGCCGUAA